CAACCCCUCAAGCUCUGCUUGGUGUUGGGGCCCUGCGCGCCGCGCACGCCCUUAAGCCCAGUGGCGGGCUCUCCUGUGGCACCGAGCGAAGUAAUACUCGCGGCUCUGGUAGAUCAGGGAGUUUCCGGCCGUUAAAAGCCCAAAUUUUCUAA
RNAcentral lists this unclassified non-coding RNA (152 nucleotides) under uncultured Sordariomycetes. Its description in RNAcentral is "sequence contains ITS2". Lineage: Eukaryota; Fungi; Ascomycota; Sordariomycetes. The record is from RNAcentral.